AAACAGAUGGCAAAACAAAAAGGCAAACCAAAAGGAUGCAGAAAGAAAAUCACAGCAGAAAGAAGAAAUAAAGUCCAGUUUCCAGGUGCUCUUUCAUAUAUAGAUGGAGCUGAUGGCUGCGGAGAGAUAUCCAAGGAGAAGGGCUACAGGAAAGUACAGUCUAGCAGCCCUGAGGACAGCAUAAAUCAUUACUUCAGUUCCUCUACACUUUGUCUGGAUUUUCCCUUGUUUGAGGGAAAACUAUUUUUAAGGUUCUCAAAGGAGGAGCGGGUGACAAUAGACUAUUCCUUCAUUGUUUUGUUUGCUAUCUAGUUCUAGUUUCUGCCACAGCUGUUUUUUCAUGCUUUUUCUAUUUACUUUUCCUGUUUACUAGAUGUUAUUUCAACAUGUUUCUUUGUUCUGUUUUUGGGACAAUUUCUCUUAAACCUGAGCUUCCCUCAGAACAGCGGGAGCAGCUGCGGCAGAGCCCAGCAGCAUCUGGCUGCUCGAAUAUUCACCCAUCUUCUCAGCAAGAGUUUGAAGGAGCUGUCACCCUGGAUCAGAGCUGAGGUGAUUCAUUGGUUUAAUCCUACUGGAGCCAGAAGUAACAUUCACAUAAGAAUUUCAAUUAAAACUCAGAAGAGAUAACUGGAAGUCUUACUGGAAGAUAUGCUGAAGCCAAAACCAGGUUAUUGUGUUCAGUACAAGGAUAGCUGAGUGGAAUCAGAUGGCAUAUUCUUGAAGAAUGGGCUACAUGAAGAGACCAUUUUUUCAGUUCAUUUGUCCUACAUGCAGAAGAACAAAGUCCCCAGGAGCAGGACAGACCAGCUUUCAUGACAAUGCCACAGAGUUCUCUUCAAGACAAUGGCAAGAUGUUGCAGCUGAGGAUGAUUCGCUCCAAACAACCUUUUCCACAAGCAGCAGCAAGAGUCAUCAACCAGAAACUAGAAGACAGAGGUACGCAAGGCAGCUAAAUACUUCAGAAUCAUUGAAAUUUAAGUUUGGAUUACACUGAAAAUCCAGAGCCCUUGCUAACCAUGACUCCAAAUGCCUCACUAGAAACCCACAAAUAAAACCAAGGACAGAAGAGAGCAAACGACCCAACAUGCAGAAGAGGCAAAGGUUGAUCUUUAUUUGUUUGCAGUCAACUGCUUUUGCAAAAACAGUGCAGGGGUGCUGCAGGCCUGGCAGGAGGUGAAGCUGAACAAAAGUGUACCUGGCCCAUGUCCCCAAGGCAGGCACAGAACUGAUGCCUUGAGCCAUGCGAGGGCAGCACAGCUGUACAGUCAUGAAGCAGCAGCUCAUGCCUCUCGUGUACCCUGACAGCAAACCAGCACUCUGGAAGAGAAAAAAGGUGCCUCAUCACUACAUGAUCCAUGGCAGAUGUGUUUCAGCCCAUGUGGAGACAAAAAUGUUGUCUGAGAAGAAAGCUACAUCUUUCAACACAGCAGGAGAUAAAAUAAGACGUUAACAGGCUCCUUACUUCAGCUACCCAGCAACUAGAAAGGAUUAGAUCUUCUCUGAAAAUCUUCCUGAUAGCAGCACCUGCUGAGAUUUGGAAAUUCCUGUCUUUUAGCUCAUUAAAAUGCAGACACAGCCUGAUUCUCCUUCCUGAAUUACAGUUGCAGUACAAAGAGGCCAAUCUCACAGCCUUUAACUGUGUACACAAUCUUCUUGCUGAAACUGAGUUUGAUUAACAACUUCAGAACCAAUUCACAGGGGCUAAAAUUCAACCUGAAAUAAUUGCGGAGAUAGAGAACCCUUGAAGCUCCCUUGCCUGAUAGAGAGAAAUGAAGGGGUCUCCACAAAUGAGUAGAAGAUUGUGCAGGUGGAACAUCGGUGCUAAAACUGUCCUUUGUGAUUGACGCUAUAAAGGUUGCUGCAUGAGUGAUCUCAGAGUUUCACAGAAGGGCAAUAAUAUAUGAGUGCCUGAGCACUACUUCAGCCUGUCUGAAGGCAACCUUCCAGCUUAUGUUACUCAGGAAUUUGGACUAUGUGAUCACAGCUGCCCCUCUGCUCUUAAAAAUCCAGGAAAUCUGCUUCAACUAGAACGUUAAUAUUCUUCCAACUGUUUUUUGAUUGUAAAUGUGACUAUAUGGUUUGUGAAGUGAGAAUUGGUUCGGUUAUGAGAAUCACUCCAUAUGAACAAUCUGAUACAGGAGCCACAUGAAUGCUAUUAGUAGCAUCUCCAUCCUUGGGGAUAGUCAGUAAUUGAAAAGAGAAGGUUCUGAGCAACUUGAUGCAAACACAGAGUUGAUUUUCUAUUAGAAAUACCUCCCCAGCUCCCUCACAAUCCAAGUUAUUCAGGAUUUUAUGAUUCUCUUGCCUAGACUAUUAGGACUUUUGCUGUUGUAUUAUUUAAGUGGAUACAUGGUCUGUUAAAAAUAAA
Molecule: long non-coding RNA, 2368 nt
Organism: Cyanistes caeruleus (blue tit)
Lineage: Eukaryota; Metazoa; Chordata; Aves; Passeriformes; Paridae
Source: RefSeq, a predicted model, not a curated record